CCGACAGAUAGAGGCGCGGAUGACAUCAGUAGCAACACUUAUUCAAGGCAAGCAUGCCAAGUGAUGUGAAAGGGGAAAUCCGCCGAAGUGAACAAGAAAAUGCUUUUUCUUGAUUGCUGGUACAACGGUUAAGAUCCGUUGUACUGCCGAAACCCACGUUUCGGAGCGCUAUCUUACGU
Molecule: regulatory RNA element, 179 nt
Rfam family: Lysine riboswitch aptamer
About the family: Riboswitches are metabolite binding domains within certain messenger RNAs that serve as precision sensors for their corresponding targets. Allosteric rearrangement of mRNA structure is mediated by ligand binding, and this results in modulation of gene expression.
Source: Rfam